CGAACGCUGGCGGCGUGCUUAACACAUGCAAGUCGAACGGAAAGGCCCUGCUUGCAGGGUACUCGAGUGGCGAACGGGUGAGUAACACGUGGGUGAUCUGCCCUGCACUUCGGGAUAAGCCUGGGAAACUGGGUCUAAUACCGGAUAGGAGCCAUUUUUAGUGUGAUGGUUGGAAAGUUUUUUCGGUGUAGGAUGAGCUCGCGGCCUAUCAGCUUGUUGGUGGGGUAAUGGCCUACCAAGGCGGCGACGGGUAGCCGGCCUGAGAGGGUGGACGGCCACAUUGGGACUGAGAUACGGCCCAGACUCCUACGGGAGGCAGCAGUGGGGAAUAUUGCACAAUGGGCGCAAGCCUGAUGCAGCGACGCCGCGGGGGGGAUGACGGCCUUCGGGUUGUAAACUCCUUUCGCUAGGGACGAAGCUUUUUGUGACGGUACCUAGAUAAGAAGCACCGGCUAACUACGUG
This 463-nucleotide ribosomal RNA is filed under the name uncultured bacterium. RNAcentral's name for it is "partial 16S ribosomal RNA". It matches the Rfam family "Bacterial small subunit ribosomal RNA", at positions 30 to 507 of the family's 1533-position model. The record is from RNAcentral.